UAGUUACCUGUCGAGACUAUAAGAAGAAUUUUGAGGAAGAAUUUGAUCAAGAAGACCAAGAGAGAUGGUUUGCUUUGGAGAGGAAUUAGAUAAGGCCCAUGAGUCCUAAAGAUAAUACAAUCAAUCCAACUGUUAA
Triticum dicoccoides is the source of this 136-nucleotide long non-coding RNA. RefSeq lists it as uncharacterized. Lineage: Eukaryota; Viridiplantae; Streptophyta; Magnoliopsida; Poales; Poaceae. The transcript has 3 exons. The record is from RefSeq and is a predicted model, not a curated record.